This 796-nucleotide ribosomal RNA is filed under the name Trametes sp. 5 RG-2014. RNAcentral describes it as "eukaryotic LSU rRNA". The stretch from base 499 to 796 matches the Rfam family "Eukaryotic large subunit ribosomal RNA", at positions 1 to 292 of the family's 3401-position model. Lineage: Eukaryota; Fungi; Basidiomycota; Agaricomycetes; Polyporales; Polyporaceae. The record is from RNAcentral.
AUGUGCACGCUCUGCUCAUCCACUCUACCCCUGUGCACUUACUGUAGGUUGGCGUGGGCUCCUUAACGGGAGCAUUCUGCCGGCCUAUGUAUACUACAAACACUUUAAAGUAUCAGAAUGUAAACGCGUCUAACGCAUCUAUAAUACAACUUUUAGCAACGGAUCUCUUGGCUCUCGCAUCGAUGAAGAACGCAGCGAAAUGCGAUAAGUAAUGUGAAUUGCAGAAUUCAGUGAAUCAUCGAAUCUUUGAACGCACCUUGCGCUCCUUGGUAUUCCGAGGAGCAUGCCUGUUUGAGUGUCAUGGAAUUCUCAACUUAUAAAUCCUUGUGAUCUAUAAGCUUGGACUUGGAGGCUUGCUGGCCCUUGUUGGUCGGCUCCUCUUGAAUGCAUUAGCUCGAUUCCGUACGGAUCGGCUCUCAGUGUGAUAAUUGUCUACGCUGUGACCGUGAAGUGUUUUGGCGAGCUUCUAACCGUCCAUUAGGACAACUUUUUAACAUCUGACCUCAAAUCAGGUAGGACUACCCGCUGAACUUAAGCAUAUCAAUAAGCGGAGGAAAAGAAACUAACAAGGAUUCCCCUAGUAACUGCGAGUGAAGCGGGAAAAGCUCAAAUUUAAAAUCUGGCGGUCUUUGGCCGUCCGAGUUGUAGUCUGGAGAAGCGUCUUCCGCGUUGGACCGUGUACAAGUCUCUUGGAACAGAGCGUCAUAGAGGGUGAGAAUCCCGUCUUUGACACGGACUACCAAUGCUUUGUGAUGCGCUCUCAAAGAGUCGCGUUGUUUGGGAAUGCAGCGCAAAA